Molecule: ribosomal RNA, 403 nt
Filed under: Ramogenia languinosa
Lineage: Eukaryota; Metazoa; Mollusca; Gastropoda; Stylommatophora; Camaenidae
Description: partial 16S ribosomal RNA
Rfam family: Bacterial large subunit ribosomal RNA
Source: RNAcentral
CAAAAACAUAGCUUGGUGUAAUUAUAUUAAGUAUUUUCUGCUCAAUGAUACAUUAAAUAGCCGCAGUACCCUGACUGUGCAAAGGUAGCAUAAUCAAUUGACUUCUAAUUAAAGUCUGGAAUGAAAGAAUAAAUGAAGGGUUAACUGUAUGGUCAAUUAAUUAUUAAGUUACUUAAGAGGUGAAAAUUCCUCUUUUUAAUUAUUAGACGAGAAGACCCUAGAAAUUUCGAUAUAUUUUGUUGGGGCAACAGUGUAGCAAUAUUAACCUACAUUAUUUACGAGAAGUGUGACGGUUUGAUAAAAUUACUCUAGGGAUAACAGCAUAAUACGGAAGUGUUUGUGACCUCGAUGUUGGAUUAGGAAUGUGCAGUUUAGAAAAUAAUCGCAGUGCUCUGUUCGAGCA